Molecule: ribosomal RNA, 301 nt
Filed under: uncultured bacterium
Lineage: Bacteria
Description: partial 16S ribosomal RNA
Rfam family: Bacterial small subunit ribosomal RNA
Source: RNAcentral
CAGCAGCCGCGGGAAUACAGAGGGUGCAAGCGUUAAUCGGAAUUACUGGGCGUAAAGCGCACGCAGGCGGUCUGACAAGUCAGAUGUGAAAUCCCCGGGCUUAACCUGGGAACUGCAUUUGAAACUGUCAGGCUGGAGUCUUGUAGAGGGGGGUAGAAUUCCAGGUGUAGCGGUGAAAUGCGUAGAGAUCUGGAGGAAUACCGGUGGCGAAGGCGGCCCCCUGGACAAAGACUGACGCUCAGGUGCGAAAGCGUGGGGAGCAAACAGGAUUAGAUACCCCGGUAGUCCCUGUCUCUUAUAC